CAAAGCACCGGUUUCCAUACGAACACCGAAGUUAAGCAACAUCGUGCCUGGUCAAUACCUAAAUGGGUGACCCCCUUGGAAU
This is a non-coding RNA of Acanthosepion pharaonis, 82 nucleotides long. The record is from the annotation of a GenBank genome assembly. NCBI's taxonomy places the organism in Eukaryota, Metazoa, Mollusca, Cephalopoda, Sepiida, Sepiidae.